Molecule: long non-coding RNA, 255 nt
Organism: Columba livia (rock pigeon)
Lineage: Eukaryota; Metazoa; Chordata; Aves; Columbiformes; Columbidae
Exons: 2
Source: RefSeq, a predicted model, not a curated record
AGUCUCUAAUCAACCUGGACGAGAAUAGCCACUGCAGCAGGAUUUCAACCUUGCUGAUAUUUCCAAAUUCCUAACAGGAUCAUCUCCUGUGGACAUAUGUCGAGAUUCAGCAUUGUCUGAGAGAUUUUGACCAAUAAUCUGGAAGGGAAUUAUUUGAGAUGUGAAAGGAAAUUCAGAUCACCCGUGGGGAAAAUAGUACUGUUCUGCUACUGCGCCUGUUUUUCUAUUGAGAAGAAACACAUGACACCAGUACAG